UCUGUCAACAAACCUGGACAGCCUUUUGUCCCAAAACAUUGUCUGCUUUGUGAGCCCAACAGGCUUUGUCUCAGGCCAUUAUAUGUUCUUGGAGCCCAUUAAAUUCCCCUAAAAAUCAUUUACUAACCCCCUUACAUCACUCAUACUUCCCCAUCUCCCUUUCUUCUAAGAAGAAAGGCAUAAAAACAUCUAGACCCCAAUUCACGGAGAAAGAGGGGAUAAUAUCUGGGAUUUUCCUCCAUGCACUUUAAUAAAUUUAUAUGCUUUCCUCCUAUUAAUCUGCCUUUUGUCAGCUGAUUUUCAGCAAACCUUUAGGGGGCAAAAGGGAAGUUUUCCUUUGGCUGCUACACAGCUCUGAACUGAUGAGGAAGAGCUACUGCGUGUAAGAGUCUGGCUACGAGCCAGGUGCCUUCCAUCCUACAUCUCAGUUCAAUUCCACAAUAAAAUGGAAAGGCAGGUAUUACUGAACUCAUUUUACCUAUAAAGAACCUGAGAAGCGAAGUGACUUGCCCCAGCUCAUUGGCAAGCAGCAGAGCUAAGACAGGAAGCCAGGUUUUCCGAGUAUAAAACCCAAGCAGAGUCACUAUGCUGUACUGAGACCUCCUAUUACUGAUUAUGAACCAAGGUAAUUUUAUCCUACUUGAUAACUCAGAUGUCACCUCCUCCUGAAUUAGUCACUUUUAUAUGCUCCUCUUGUCUCUCUUCUUUUCUAUUUUCUCCAAGAACUGAGCUGUGGGACGCUUACCCUCAUGAUAUUCCCUUACUUUGAGAUAACUGCGAUUCUCUCACUUAAUGGCAAGGAAAAAAAUACUUGGAAUGUGGCCCCUGAAAGAGAUUAGGACGCAGACACACACAGAGGGAAGACCAUGUAAAGACAGAGAGAAGAUGGCCAUCUAUAAGCCAAGAAGAGAGGCCCCAGAAGAAAUGAACGCUGCUAAUACCUUGAUCCAGGGCUUCUUGCCUCCAGAAUGACUGGGGUGAUUGGUUUCGUGAAGAGGACCGCAAAGGUAAGGUGCCAUUUUUAUCACAUGAAGUCAAGAGCACAUUCAUACUAUGUAUAGAUAGUACAUACUAUCAGUAUGACUGUUGACCCUGACUUCAAUCACCUGAUUGAGCUAGAGUUUACCAGGUUUCUCCAAUGUAUGAUCACUUGUCCUCUCCCCCUUUCCUUAUUAUACUUUUGUGUCCGGAAUUGGUGGGUUCUUGGUCUCACUGACUUCAAGAAUCAAG
RNAcentral lists this long non-coding RNA (1230 nucleotides) under Homo sapiens (human). RNAcentral's name for it is "HSALNT0293724". The record is from RNAcentral. Lineage: Eukaryota; Metazoa; Chordata; Mammalia; Primates; Hominidae.